GACGAACGCUGGCGGCGUGCUUAACACAUGCAAGUCGAACGGAAGGGCCCUGCUUUUGUUGGGCGCUUGAUUGGCGAACGGGUGAGUAACACGUGUGUAUCCUGCCCCUGACUUUGGGAUAACUUCAGGAAACUGGGGCGAAUACCCGAUAGGAGCUUCUGCUGCAUGUUGGGGGUUGGUAAGUUUCGGUGGUUGGGGCUGGACUCGCGGCUUAUCAGCUUGUUGGUGGGGUAGUGGCUUACCAAGGCUUCGAAGGGUAGCCGGCCUGAGAGGGUGACCGGCCACAUUGGGACUGAGAUACGGCCCAGACUCCUACGGGAGGCAGCAGUGGGGAAUAUUGCACAAUGGGCGGAAGCCUGAUGCAGCAACGCCGCGUGCGGGAUGACGGCCUUCGGGUUGUAAACCGCUUUCGCCUGUGACGAAGCGUGAGUGACGGUAAUGGGUAAAGAAGCACCGGCUAACUACGUG
This 468-nucleotide ribosomal RNA is filed under the name uncultured bacterium. RNAcentral's name for it is "partial 16S ribosomal RNA". It matches the Rfam family "Bacterial small subunit ribosomal RNA", at positions 28 to 507 of the family's 1533-position model. The record is from RNAcentral.